UCCCUGGGAUAUUCGCCAGUUGAUUAGUCCUUGAGCCGAUAAUUUUUUACUUGGAGGGAAUCAAGUCGCUAUGGUGUGCAUAUCCGCAUGACGGAAAGCCUAAUAUAUCGCUGAUCCCACCACCUUGAACCUUUCGGUUCAAGGCGCCUUCAACAGCGGUAUCAUCGGGGA
Molecule: non-coding RNA, 171 nt
Filed under: uncultured Porticoccus sp.
Lineage: Bacteria; Pseudomonadati; Pseudomonadota; Gammaproteobacteria; Cellvibrionales; Porticoccaceae
Description: 6S / SsrS RNA
Rfam family: 6S / SsrS RNA
About the family: E. coli 6S RNA was the first non coding RNA to be sequenced, but its function was unknown until recently. It consists of 184 nucleotides that fold into an extended hairpin structure with a large single-stranded internal bulge. The 6S RNA specifically associates with RNA polymerase holoenzyme containing the sigma70 specificity factor.
Source: RNAcentral